AACGAACGCUGGCGGCAGGCCUAACACAUGCAAGUCGAACGCCGUAGCAAUACGGAGUGGCAGACGGGUGAGUAACGCGUGGGAACCUACCUUACGGUCGGGAAUAGCUCAGGGAAACUUGGGGGUAAUACCGGAUACGCCCUUACGGGGAAAGAUUUAUCGCCGUUAGAUGGGCCCGCGUCGGAUUAGCUUGUUGGUGAGGUAACGGCUCACCAAGGCGACGAUCAGUAGCUGGUCUGAGAAGAUGAUCAGCCACAUUGGGACUGAGACACGGCCCAAACUCCUACGGGAGGCAGCAGUGGGGAAUAUUGGACAAUGGGCGAAAGCCUGAUCCAGCAAUGCCGCGUGAGUGAUGAAGGCCUUAGGGUUGUAAACCCCUUUUCUGGGGGACGAUAAUGACGGUACCCCAGGAAGAAGCCCCGG
This 423-nucleotide ribosomal RNA is filed under the name uncultured bacterium. RNAcentral describes it as "bacterial SSU rRNA". It matches the Rfam family "Bacterial small subunit ribosomal RNA", at positions 29 to 496 of the family's 1533-position model. The record is from RNAcentral.